CCUACGGGAGGCUGCAGUGGGGAAUAUUGCACAAUGGGGGAAACCCUGAUGCAGCGACGCCGCGUGAGUGAAGAAGUCUUUCGGUAUGUAAAGCUCUAUCAGCAGGGAAGCAAAUGACGGUACCUGAUUACGACGCCACGGCUAACUACGUGCCAGCAGCCGCGGUAAUACGUAGGGGGCAAGCGUUAUCCGGAUUUACUGGGUUUAAAGUGAGCGUAGACGGCAGCACAAGUCUGGAGGGAAAUGCCGGGGCUUAACCCCGGAACUGCUGUGGAAACUGGGCAGCUAGAGUGCAGGAGAGGUAAGUGGAAUUCCUAGUGUAGCGGUGAAAUGCGUAGAUAUUACGAGGAACACCAGUGGCGAAGGCGGCUUACUGGACUGUAACUGACGUUGAGGCUCGAAAGCGUGGGGAGCAAACAGGAUUAGAUACCCCAGUAGUC
This 440-nucleotide ribosomal RNA is filed under the name uncultured bacterium. RNAcentral's name for it is "partial 16S ribosomal RNA". It matches the Rfam family "Bacterial small subunit ribosomal RNA", at positions 338 to 795 of the family's 1533-position model. The record is from RNAcentral.